RNAcentral lists this small nucleolar RNA (133 nucleotides) under Papilio xuthus (Asian swallowtail). The record is from RNAcentral. Lineage: Eukaryota; Metazoa; Arthropoda; Insecta; Lepidoptera; Papilionidae.
GUUGGGCCUUAUCGAAGCUACGUAUUACUUUAGUGAAUAUGUUAGUCAAAUUAUGGCCAAAAUUAAUUGAUCCCUAAACGGUCGCGGUUUAGACAAUCGUAUCUUCAACGUAUUACCAUCGGGACCUACAAUU